This 1902-nucleotide ribosomal RNA is filed under the name Triticum aestivum (bread wheat). Its description in RNAcentral is "partial small subunit ribosomal RNA". Lineage: Eukaryota; Viridiplantae; Streptophyta; Magnoliopsida; Poales; Poaceae. The record is from RNAcentral.
AUGGCGCAUGGUGAAGGGUCUGUUCCUUCCAAUGAACUAUCAAUUUGUCAGUUAGCUGAGCGGCAUCUAUAUGAGCCUAAUACUAGUGAAGAGGUCAACCUAGUGAUCAAACAGCAGGUGCUCGCACAUGCGGAUUUGACGCGCCAUCCUCGUGGUUGGAAUGUGGGGUCUACUCUUAGUGACUAUUCUUUUCAUCCACUAGCACCUUAUCCUAAACCUGAUCAUGAAGCCUACACCCUAGGGACCAGGAUGGUAGCAAAAGAUCUAGGUUGGGAUGGUCACACAGUCGAGUAUGUUCCGCAACCCAAAGGCUAUGUUGAGUGGGGCAUCUCUAUAUUUAAUAACUACUCGUUUUGUUUGAAAGGAGAAGCGGAGAACACCGAUUACAUAUAUGGGGCCAUUUAUUGCUCCCUCGGUGAAUAUGAAGUUUCAGAUUCGCUACUAAGGUCAUUACUAGAAAGAUGGGAUCCACAAACAAAUACUUUUCUUUUUUCAUCCGGUGAACGCACUGUGACUCUGCUUGACAUGCUUCUAAUGUCGGGUAUUCCUUCAGUUGGAGAUCCGUACGAAGAAUAUGUUCCCUCGAUAGAUGAUCUAGAACCUUCAAAGCUUAUGUUCUCAAAUUUCUUAUCUGGCCUUUUAGAAGAAUUCUACUGGCUUAGCCGCGAAAACGGGAGUGUGACUUUUCAAGUUUGGUGUGACCAUUUCCAUAACAAACGCGAACACACUUCAUCUUUCACCUCCCUUCGGGAACAGCACAUGUACAUUGCGGCUUUUAUAGCCCACUGGCUUUGCUCUUACGUGGUUGUUGGUGGGGGGCCUUAUAUUCGUCCCGGUGUCCUUCUUAUGGCCUCUUGGAUUGUUUCGGGUCGCAAGAUCUCUUUGGCUCCCUCAGCACUUUGUUCAUUGUAUUAUUCUCUUCGAAGGAUUAGUAUGCACCCCGUCGCUCCCUCUUAUGAGAAAAGGAUUUGGCCAGUGCAUUAUAUCGCAGGGUGGAUGGGUCUUUAUCUAAGAAAACAAUUUAAGGACAAAGUGAAAGGGAAACAUCUUCCAGAUGUUAAGCAAUUGCCGAUGCAACCAACCAUGGUUAAAACUAUGUUACGGGUUCCCAUAACUUUCAGUCCUGCUAGGGCACGCAUUUUCUUUGAUGACAGAGCCAAUAUUUUUUGGAAUCCUUAUACUCCAAAGAACUUAGUCGGGGUGGAUCAGUUGCAAAGGUCCUUCACCAUUUCUUCACAUCGGGGUAUGCUUCCAUGGAGGCGUGCUACUGAUGUUGAUGAUCUUUGCAUAGCGGAGCCAUAUCAUCCUGAUCGAGUUGCACGACAACUUACUUUGAGAAAACAAGUGCCCUAUGCUCUGUUGGUCAGCGUGUACACAAAGGAGGAUACUGGUGUUGCAUAUGCCUAUUGGUUGCAUUUGUUACGCUCGGACCAAGGAGAGUUCCGGUACCUUCUUAAUGAUGCGCAUGAGGCAUUUUCUUCUGUGGCCUGGAACAACUGGUGGGUGGGAUUUAUGAAACCAUUUAACAACAUAUUCAAUACUCUUUGUCCGGGCAUUUCGAAUGGUCCGAAUUAUAAUCCACGAAAACAUAAUUUUCUGAGACACGGGGAGGAAUACAUAAUUCCUCGCAACCUUUCAGAAAAUGAUUUUGAUGUUAUAAAGGAAGUCUCCGCCAGGAGUAAGGAAGAGCAUAUUGCAACCAUCAAAUUGAAUGAAAGGAGAAUUAUGGACCACUGGCGCCCCAUUCUAUCCAUCUUCCUCUCAAAUGAUGAACCUUUAACCAACUCUAAAAAGAUGAGAUAUAUACAUCUAUAUAUAUUUGGUAUUGCCAUAUUUUGUUUGCUCCUUUCUUUGUCUCAUUUUCUUCUAUAUCUCCUUUCAAUAGAAGAAGCGAAAUGUUAA